RNAcentral lists this ribosomal RNA (876 nucleotides) under Triticum aestivum (bread wheat). Its description in RNAcentral is "partial small subunit ribosomal RNA". Lineage: Eukaryota; Viridiplantae; Streptophyta; Magnoliopsida; Poales; Poaceae. The record is from RNAcentral.
AUGGCCUCCUGUAGAUGCAUUGUCUGGUUUCUCUGUCUCCACACCUUCUUUUGCUGCCUGCCAUUAGCCAUCAGCGAUGAAACCAAGAAUGACAGACAAGCUCUCCUUUGCUUCAAGUCCAAGCUCUCAGGUCCAAGCAGAGCUCUGGCAUCAUGGAGCAACGCGUCCUCGGACCACUGCAGCUGGCACGGGAUCACCUGCAGUGCGCUGCCUCCUCGCCGUGUCAUUGCACUCGACCUCGAAUCCGAGGGCAUCGCUGGCUCCAUAUCCGCUUGUGCCGCCAACCUCACCGCUCUUAGAAGGCUCCAACUAUCAAACAACAGCUUCCACGGCGGCAUACCGUCCGAGCUCGGCCUCCUGAGCCGACUCGCCGACCUCAACCUCAGCAUGAACAGUUUGGAAGGUAACAUCCCACCUGAACUCUCUGCAUGUUCCCGACUCCGAAUCCUUGGUUUGUGGAACAACUCCCUCCACGGAGGGAUCCCUCCUAGCCUUGGCCAAUGCAAGCGUCUUCAGGAGAUUAACCUUGGCAACAAAAAGCUCCAAGGGGGCAUCCCUUAUGCUCUUGGGAAUCUUCCUGAGCUGUGCAUGCUAGUUCUCGCUCGCAACGGGCUUACCGGCAACAUACCGCCGUCUUUGGGCAGCAGCCUUUCUCUCACAUACGUCGAUAUUGGGACGAAUGGUCUGAGAGGGGUCAUCCCAGAGUCCUUAGCAAACAGUUCAUCUCUCCAAGUACUUAGGCUCACGAGAAAUAAUCUUACUGGGGAACUCCCAGAGACUCUCUUCAACACUGCACCACUUGUUGCCAUCUGCCUCCAAACAGAACAGCCUCGUCGGUUCCAUACCUCCUGUAACGGCGAUAAACUCCCAAAUUAA